GGACCCGUAGCUCAGUCUGGAUAGAGCGCUGGCCUUCUAAGCCAGCGGUCGCGGGUUCGAAUCCCGCCGGGUCCG
This 75-nucleotide transfer RNA is filed under the name Candidatus Asgardarchaeum californiense. RNAcentral describes it as "tRNA-Arg". It matches the Rfam family "tRNA". From Rfam's summary of the family: Transfer RNA (tRNA) molecules are approximately 80 nucleotides in length. Their secondary structure includes four short double-helical elements and three loops (D, anti-codon, and T loops). Lineage: Archaea; Promethearchaeati; Candidatus Asgardarchaeia (ex Tamarit et al. 2024); Candidatus Asgardarchaeales (ex Tamarit et al. 2024); Candidatus Asgardarchaeaceae. The record is from RNAcentral. RNAcentral also lists the same sequence under 1 other name.